This 253-nucleotide ribosomal RNA is filed under the name uncultured bacterium. RNAcentral describes it as "partial 16S ribosomal RNA". It matches the Rfam family "Bacterial small subunit ribosomal RNA", at positions 524 to 776 of the family's 1533-position model. The record is from RNAcentral.
UACGGGGGGGGCAAGCGUUGUUCGGAAUUACUGGGCGUAAAGGGCGCGUCGGCGGCCUUCUAAGUCGAACGUGAAAUCCCCGGGCUCAACCCGGGAACUGCGUCCGAUACUGGAAGGCUUGAAUCCGGGAGAGGGAUGCGGAAUUCCAGGUGUAGCGGUGAAAUGCGUAGAUAUCUGGAGGAACACCGGUGGCGAAGGCGGCAUCCUGGACCGGCAUUGACGCUGAGGCGCGAAAGCCAGGGGAGCAAACGGG